AGUCGAGCGGCAGCGCGGGGGCAACCCUGGCGGCGAGCGGCGAACGGGUGAGUAAUGCAUCGGAACGUGCCCAGUAGUGGGGGAUAACCAGUCGAAAGAUUGGCUAAUACCGCGUACGACCUACGGGUGAAAGCGGGGGACCGCAAGGCCUCGCGCUAUUGGAGCGGCCGAUGUCGGAUUAGCUAGUUGGCGGGGUAAUGGCCCACCAAGGCGACGAUCCGUAGCUGGUCUGAGAGGACGACCAGCCACACUGGAACUGAGACACGGUCCAGACUCCUACGGGAGGCAGCAGUGGGGAAUUUUGGACAAUGGGCGCAAGCCUGAUCCAGCCAUGCCGCGUGAGUGAAGAAGGCCUUCGGGUUGUAAAGCUCUUUCGGCGGGGACGAAACGGUCCGUGCCAACACCACGGAUCAAUGACGGUACUCGCAGAAGAAGCACCGGCUAACUACGUGCCAGCAGCCGCGGUAAUACGUAGGGUGCGGGCGUUAAUCGGAAUUACUGGGCGUAAAACGUGCGCAGGCGGCUCCUUAAGUCAGAUGUGAAAUCCCCGGGCUUAACCUGGGAACUGCGUUUGAAACUGAGGGGCUUGAGUGUGGAAGAGGGGGGUGGAAUUCC
RNAcentral lists this ribosomal RNA (615 nucleotides) under uncultured bacterium. RNAcentral describes it as "bacterial SSU rRNA". It matches the Rfam family "Bacterial small subunit ribosomal RNA", at positions 60 to 670 of the family's 1533-position model. The record is from RNAcentral.